RNAcentral lists this ribosomal RNA (441 nucleotides) under uncultured Caloramator sp. RNAcentral describes it as "bacterial SSU rRNA". It matches the Rfam family "Bacterial small subunit ribosomal RNA", at positions 337 to 795 of the family's 1533-position model. Lineage: Bacteria; Bacillati; Bacillota; Clostridia; Eubacteriales; Clostridiaceae. The record is from RNAcentral.
CCCUACGGGUGGCAGCAGUGGGGAAUAUUGCACAAUGGGGGAAACCCUGAUGCAGCAACGCCGCGUGAGUGACGAAGGCCUUCGGGUUGUAAAACUCUGUCUUAGCUGACGAUAAUGACGGUAAGCUAGGAGGAAGCCACGGCUAACUACGUGCCAGCAGCCGCGGUAAUACGUAGGUGGCGAGCGUUGUCCGGAAUUACUGGGCGUAAAGGGAGCGUAGGCGGUUUAUUAAGUGGGAUGUGAAAUCCCCGGGCUUAACCUGGGAAUUGCAUUCCAAACUGGUAGACUAGAGUGCAGGAGAGGAAAGUGGAAUUCCAAGUGUAGCGGUGAAAUGCGUAGAGAUUUGGAGGAACACCAGUGGCGAAGGCGACUUUCUGGACUGAUACUGACGCUGAGGCUCGAGAGCGUGGGGAGCAAACAGGAUUAGAUACCCUUGUAGUC